UACGUAGGGUGCGAGCGUUAAUCGGAAUUACUGGGCGUAAAGUGUGCGCAGGCGGCCGAGCAAGUCGAGUGUGAAAGCCCCGAGCUUAACUUGGGAACUGCGCUCGAAACUACUUGGCUAGAGUGUGGCAGAGGGAGGUGGAAUUCCACGUGUAGCGGUGAAAUGCGUAGAUAUCUGGAGGAACACCGGUGGCGAAGGCGGCUCACUGGCCCGGUACUGACGCUGAGGUGCGAAAGCGUGGGGAGCAAACAGG
This 253-nucleotide ribosomal RNA is filed under the name uncultured bacterium. Its description in RNAcentral is "partial 16S ribosomal RNA". It matches the Rfam family "Bacterial small subunit ribosomal RNA", at positions 524 to 776 of the family's 1533-position model. The record is from RNAcentral.